CCCACACUGGUACUGAGACACGGACCAGACUCCUACGGGAGGCAGCAGUGAGGAAUAUUGGUCAAUGGGCGGAAGCCUGAACCAGCCAUGCCGCGUGCAGGAAGACGGCCCUACGGGUUGUAAACUGCUUUUAUGUGAGGAUAAACCUAGAUUUGCGAAUCUAGCUGAAGGUAUCACAUGAAUAAGGAUCGGCUAACUCCGUGCCAGCAGCCGCGGUAAUACGGAGGAUUCGAGCGUUAUCCGGAUUUAUUGGGUUUAAAGGGUGCGUAGGCGGACUAUUAAGUCAGUGGUGAAAUACAUCAGCUCAACUGAUGCACUGCCAUUGAUACUGGUAGACUAGAAUAUAAAUGGUGCAGGCGGAAUGAAUCAUGUAGAGGUGACAUUCAUAGAUAUGAUUCAGAACACCGAUCGCGAAGGCAGCUUGCAAAGAUAGUAUUGACGCUGAGGCACGAAAGCGUGGGUAGCGAACAGGAUUAGAUACCCUGGUAGUCCACGCCGUAAACGAUGAUAACUCGUUGUCGGCGAUACACAGUCGGUGACUAAGCGAAAGCGAUAAGUUAUCCACCUGGGGAGUACGAUCGCAAGGUUGAAACUCAAAGGAAUUGACGGGGGCCCGCACAAGCGGAGGAGCAUGUGGUUUAAUUCGAUGAUACGCGAGGAACCUUACCUAGACUUGAACGUAGAAGUGAUCAUUUAGAAAUAGAUGAGCUAGUAAUAGACUUUUACGAGGUGCUGCAUGGUUGUCGUCAGCUCGUGCCGUGAGGUGUCAGGUUAAGUCCUAUAACGAGCGCAACCCCUA
Molecule: ribosomal RNA, 799 nt
Filed under: uncultured bacterium
Lineage: Bacteria
Description: bacterial SSU rRNA
Rfam family: Bacterial small subunit ribosomal RNA
Source: RNAcentral